GAUCUGCGCAUUAGGUGAGCUCAGGUUUAAAAUGCCAGUUGAUUGAGGUGUGGACUUGCGGAUGGCAUGAGAACAUUUAAGAGACAGUUGGUUAGCUUUAUGUUAACUUGAAACAUGGCAGAGUCGUUGGAAAGAGAAACCUCAACUGAGAAAAAUGCUGCUUCCAGAUUGUCCUGUGGGAAUAUUUUGAUUACUGAUCAAUGCGGGAGGGCCCAUCUGAAUGUGUGCUGCCACCCCUGGGCCNGUGGUCUUUCGGUAUNUGAAAAAGGCUGAGAGAACUAGCCAGAAAGCAACAUUCCUUCAGAGCUUCUAAAGUUCCUGCCUCAAGUUACUUUGAUGAUGGGCUGUGAUGUGGAAGUCUGAAUCUACAGACUUUUUCAUCUUCCUGUGAUAGCUGAUAGCAACCCAAAGAUGAUAGGUCACCGAAAUCGAAAUUACCUUCUAAUCUUCCUCCAGAAUUGUAAAAGGAGAAAAUUUUUGAUGUUCUUAAAGAUGGAUCCAUUAGCCUUAAUUUACUCUCAAGGACCCACUCUGGUACUAUUUGUUGUAGCUGUUAUUUAGUUGCUAGGACUUGAAAUCAGGACCUAGAACAUCCAGGCACAUCUGUUGGAACAUACUUCUUCAGGACUCCAGCUUAUACAGAAGACAAGCUGAAUCUCCUAGCCUCACAGGACUGAGCAACUACUAGACUCUUGGACUUCCCAUUCACAGCUGCCUAUUGGGUUGGUUGGACUGGAAAUUCCCUUAAUAUAUACAUUCCCUAAGUUCUGUGACUUUAGAGAAUCCUGACUAAUUCAUGAAAAAGGAUUUGAUACUACAAAUGACCUGUUUCUUACCAUACUUUUGCCUUAAUUUUUUCUUUUUAAAAAUUUGGGACAUGAUAUCAUUUGCAGCCANGGCUGACACUGAACUCAUGUUCCCCCUGUCUUGGACUUCCUGAGUGCUGGGAUCACAGGCAAGCAUCACCACUGUUAACUACCUUUGUCUAUUACUAUUACAACCUGUUUAUAAUAAUUGCCUAUGACGUUUGCUUGUUUGUAAUAUUCUAUUUCCUCAGUCUUGCAUUAUUCAUUCCAAUUUUACUACAAUAAAGACCUUUUCCUACUUACUUUUUUUGAAUGGAUUUGAUUAUAUAAGUAUGAAGGUACCUUUUAUUUUAUUUCAUGGGUUAUAAUUAAUUAUGAUCAACAUCAUUUUUCUAAAGUUAUCCAAAGCUAGGACAGCUUUCUAAUUUUCUGACAGAAAACUAACUUUUGUUAUUCAUAGAAUAUUUGCUUCUUUGCUAUAGACCGAUGAAGUAAUUUCAUAAUUGCUAACAAAUAUUUCAGAAAAGUAAAUGUUAAGAUUUNUUUUCUGGUAAGCUACCUCAAAAGUUUUUUGCACC
Molecule: long non-coding RNA, 1384 nt
Filed under: Mus caroli (Ryukyu mouse)
Lineage: Eukaryota; Metazoa; Chordata; Mammalia; Rodentia; Muridae
Description: predicted gene, 16794 (MGP_CAROLIEiJ_G0004224.1)
Source: RNAcentral